This 1530-nucleotide long non-coding RNA is filed under the name Callithrix jacchus (white-tufted-ear marmoset). RNAcentral describes it as "lncRNA (ENSCJAG00000061311.2)". The record is from RNAcentral. Lineage: Eukaryota; Metazoa; Chordata; Mammalia; Primates; Cebidae.
UGUUCACUGCUGUGUCUGUGCUGCUUUGAUGAGUAUCAGGCUCAUAUAAUGAUAUAAAAUGAGGCCGGGUGCAGAUUCUGGAUAUCAGUCCUUUGUCGGAUGGGUAAACUGCAAAAAUUUUUUCCCAUUCUGUUGGUUGCCGCUCCACUCUAGUGACUGUUUCUUUUGCCGUGCAGAAGCUGUGGAAUUUCAUUAGGUCCCAUUUGUCUAUUUUGGCUUUUGUUGCCAAUGCUUUUGGUGUUUUGUUCAUGAAGUCCUUGCCUACUCCUAUGUCCUGGAUAGUUUUGCCUAGAUUUUCUUCUAGGGUUUUUAUGGUGCCAGGUCUUAUGUUUAAGUCUUUAAUCCAUCUGGAGUUAAUUUUAGUGUAAGGUGUCAGGAAGGGGUCCAGUUUCUGCUUUCUGCACAUGGCUAGCCAGUUUUCCCAACACCAUUUGUUAAACAUGGAAUCCUUUCCCCAUUGCUUGUUUUUGUCAGGUUUAUCAAAGAUUGUAUAGUUGUAUGUAUGUUGUGUUGCCUCCGGUGCCUCUGUUUUGUUCCAUUGGUCUAUAUCUCUGUUUUGGUACCAGUACCAUGCUGUUUUGAUUACUGUAGCCUUGUAGUAUAGUUUGAAAUCCAGUAGUGUGAUGCCCCCCGCUGUGUUCUUUUUGCUUAGAAUUGACUUGGCUAUGUGGGCUCUCUUUUGGUUCCAUAUGAAGUUCAUGGUGUUUUUUUUCCAGUUCUGUGAAGAAAGUCAAUGGUAGCUUGAUGGGGAUAGCGUUGAUUCUGUAAAUUACUUUGGGCAGUAUAGCCAUUUUCACGAUAUUAAUUCUUCCUAACCAUGAACAUGGAAUGUUUCUCCAUCUGUUUGUGUCCUCUCUGAUUUCGUUGAGCAGUGGUUUGUAGUUCUCCUUGAAGAGGUCUCUUACGUUCCUUGUGAGUUGUAUUCCAAGGUAUUUUAUUCUUUUUGUAGCAAUUGCGAAUGGCAGUUCGCUCUUGAUUUGGCUUUCUUUAAGUCUGUUAUUGGUGUAGACGAAUGCUUGUGAUUUUUGCACAUUGAUAUUAUAUCCUGAGACUUUGCUGAAGUUGCUUAUCAGUUUCAGGAGUUUUUGGGCUGAGGCAAUGGGGUCUUCUAGGUAUACUAUCAUGUCGUCUGCAAAUAGAGACAAUUUGGCUUCCACCUUUCCUAUUUGAAUACCCUUUAUUUCUUUUUCUUUCCUGAUUGCUCUGGCUAGAACUUCCAGUACUAUAUUGAGUAGGAGUGGUAAAAGAGGACAUCCUUGUCUAGUGUCGGAUUUCAAAGGGAAUGCUUCCAGUUUUUGCCCAUUGAGUAUGAUAUUGGCUGUUGGUUUGUCAUAAAUAGCUUUUAUUACUUUGAGAUACGUUCCACCGAUACCGAGUUUAUUGAGGGUUUUUAGCAUAAAGUGCUGUUGAAUUUUGUCAAAUGCCUUCUCUGCAUCAAUUGAGAUAAUCAUGUGGUUUUUGUUUUUGGUUCUGUUUAUGUGGUGAAUUACAUUUAUAGACUUGCGUAUGUUGAACCAGCCUUGCAUCCCC